UUGGAAUGCAGGGUGUGGCCCUCUAACACAGCAAAAAAGAAAUGAGUCAGCCCGUGCGAUCCUAACCAAUAAGCGUGUUCAUUGUCGGCUAAGGCGGAACUUGCCUGUCUUGAUUUAUAUCAGGCUUAGGAGCCCGGUACAGCCUUUAAAAGAGGUUUUUUCCCCCCCGAACUUCAGCCUUGAACAACUUCCAAGAACGCAGCAGAGGCUCUUUAAAAACUCUUUCAAAGCCAGAGUCAGUGUCAGGACAUGCUUGACCGGCGGGUGCAGAACCGAUCAUUCAUUCCAUAAGCCAAAUUUUCUCCAAAAUACUCACUGGCCAAAGAUAAAAUCUAAAGUGAGAGCAAAGGCCCUUCCUAAAAUGGGGUUUUCUUCAAAGCAGCAUGGAAAGAACAGAGCACCAGGACUCAGGAGCUCCAGCCCUCAUCCCAGCUGUGCCCAUAAGAGACCAGGAGCGUGGUGCGAGGUAUUUGAAUUAAAAAGCACAGUCACUAAAUACCCACGGCACCUGUCAUGUGCUGCUGCAAGUCUCCUUGACCUCGUCACUCCCGCCACACAAGGCACUUCUCUCUCCAACUGAUUUCCAAAACACUCACUGUAUCUCCUAUGACAUCGACCACAUCACGACCUGCGACUCCCAAGUACAGAGCACACUUCGGAGCGCGCUGAUCGACCACCGUGCCAGGCUGCAACCUCCCCACCCCCAAGGCCUACACACCUGCCAGCUCUCCAGUCAAACUCGCAUCCAUACUGGGGAUGCCCAGAAAUAGCAUCAGGUCCCUCCUGGGAGAGAAAUCAUAAAUCAGAAUAUUUUAUGUGUG
Long non-coding RNA from Canis lupus familiaris (dog), 821 nucleotides. RefSeq lists it as uncharacterized. The transcript is spliced from 3 exons. The record is from RefSeq and is a predicted model, not a curated record. NCBI's taxonomy places the organism in Eukaryota, Metazoa, Chordata, Mammalia, Carnivora, Canidae.